AAAUAGUGAGAGAAAAGAUUAAUCGUAUGAGCUAAUGUAUCAUGAUCGUCAUUACGUGCAUUUCGGAACAGAACAGGGGAGGAGCUGGGGAUCAAAAGAGUGAACUAGUACUACAGUGUUAUCUCGGCAUUUUGCAAUGCUCUGACGCAUGUCAACUAGUAAGCGCCAUAAGGAAAAGACGAGUCAUGGCACAUGAACCAGGGUCGUACAAAAUUAAAAACUAGCUGUUAUUAACUCAAGAUCUCUGGAAAGGUACUAAGAUGGAGAAGUUGGCAACAUUAUUUCAUUUCAUACAUGAUAAGAUAAUUAGUGCUUGCUCGCAGUAAACAUCGCACUGCAAGCAUGGCCUCGCCUGAUCGCCCCAAUUUCAGCAGACAAGUUCGGGGAGGCGUAUAGAACUUGCUGCGCAUUAUUUGAUCUACAGCCUAAUUAGUGGAAGGAGGUGUUCUUGAGGUGUGGCGGGGCGUUGUCAAAGGAGUGCUUCCUGGCCAUGGAGACGAUUGUCUUGUCGGCGACGAUGAAAUAGGCCAUCCCGGCGACGGUGGAGAUGAUGAGCGCCUGCCCGGCCGGGUUCAGGUGCGCCUUUGCCCACGGCAGCAUCCUCACGCUCGCCAGCUGAAAUUACAGGUAAGAGGUAACACAUUCGUGCUCCGCAGGGAUAUCUCGAAGAAGGCAAGAACUAAAUGGCUAGCUACUAACCGUGGGGACUGCGGCUGCGACGGUGGCGACGGCCGCGGCCUUGGCUCCCGCCAUGGCAGCCUCUGCAACACCGACAGGUUAAUGACAAUCAAGUUUCAGUGGACAGAUACAUUACAGAAGCUGCAAUUAAUGCACGACGGAAUGGUAUCUAUACGAGCAUUGCUGGUUACCUCUGGAGCAACGCUUGGCUGCAGCGAGCCUCUGGUCCAGGUAGGCGCGGGUCACCGUAGACAUUUUCGUGGGAGUGGCAGCUUGGUGGCACGAGACCGGAAGGAAGUGAACUAGAAGUAGAGCAGCAGCAGUGUGCUUUUUAUGUGACCGUCUGAGAGUGAGAUGAGAUGGAUAGGAGGUGUGCUCCGAUUCGGCCGAGUUUAUGUAGGCUGCAGGAAACCGGCAACCAGCGUGCGCACAAGAAGACGAUAGAUACAGUGGGAAGCGAGACCGUGGUUUUGGCACUUUGGCAGGCGAGCUAGCAAUACCGGCGGCGUGCUGGGUGGUCGGCGCUGCGGCAGAACACAGGUGGCGCUGCCUCGUUGGUCAUUUAAAAACCAUCUCACGUGCGCCGCACUCUUCUGCAACUGGAUAACAGCAGGCAAUGCAUCAAUCCAUCGGGGUUGGCAGGGAAUCAUAGGAUAACAAAUAUAGGAGCAUGUGCAUGAGUGGGGUGUCAAUUAAAGCAUCACUUGUAGUGUUCUUAAAUCUUCAAAUCCUUAAAAUAAAUCAUUUUUUACGGAUUGAAACGAAAAAAAGCAAAGAAUAGAACCCCUAAACCCUUAAAAAAAAAUAAGGAUUGAACCCGGGUUGCCCUCUCAAUCUCUAAAAGUGAGGAUUGAAGAGGGGAACCCAUCCCUAGCCCGCACUCCUACCGGUCGACGCGCGGGAGGGAAAUUUCCCCGCCUCCCGCCUCCCGCCACCCGCCUCCUCGCUGCCGUCGGCCGCNNNNNNNNNNNNNNNNNNNNNNNNNNNNNNNNNNNNNNNNNNNNNNNNNNNNNNNNNNNNNNNNNNNNNNNNNNNNNNNNNNNNNNNNNNNNNNNNNNNNCCCCAGCCCGCCCCAGCCGCCGCCUCCGUCGUCCCGCCCGCCACGUCCCUCACCCCGCCCGCCUCCUCCCUCGCCCCGCCGAAGCCGCCCGCCACCAAGGGUCGGAAGAAGAAGCCCUCCCUUGGGCCGAAGGGGGCGGCGGGGCCGAAGGUGAAGAAGACCAUCUCCCGGAAGAAGCCGGCUCCUGUGCCCGCCCCGGCCGUCGCCCCUCCGCCCGUCGUGCACGAGGUGAAUGCCCGCCCCGCUGACAUCAUUCAUGGGGCUUCUCGAAGACGCGGAGGUGGACAUCGGGGCUCCUCCUCUCGAACCCUUUGGGUUUAGUGAUGACUUGGAGGAAGAGGGUGAUGAGGAGGAGGAAGGGGAAGAUGAGGAGGAGGUGACCGAGAUAGAGGAGGAGGCGUUCUCCACCGUUGGAAAACACACCGUGCGCUCGACAAACUAUAGCGAGGACGAAGAUAUUCUCUUGGUUCGUGCUUGGGCACAUGUGGGAAUGGAUGCAAGCACCGGUGCCGAUCAAACCGAUAAACUCUAUUGGCAAUGCAUAGAGGACCUCUAUUGCAAGAUUAAGCCGAAGACCGGUGGGUACGACGCUCGUAGUUACCUGUCGCUACAAGGCCGGUGGGAGUUGAUGAAGCCCCAUUGUGCUCGUUGGAGUGCGGCAAUGGACCAAGUGAAGGAUGCACCGCCUAGUGGGACCGUGGAGAGUGACUAUGUAAGUACAUAUGUGUUUUUCACAUUUAUUUUGAUUUUCUAUGCUAUUGUUAUGUAUGUUUACUAUGCUAUUGGUGGGUUUGUAGGAGGCAAUUGCCGACUUGAGGUACAAGGAGAUGGCCGCUUCCAAGGGCAAAGCAUUUCCAUUUAAGCAUGUUUGGAAAAUUCUUUAAACUUAUGACAAGUGGAAGUUGAGGGAUCAAGAGACCGCACCCAAGAAGUCGACAAUGCUUAGGAUGGAUGAUAGUGAUGAGGAGGAAAGGAACGAGUGCAAGCCCGAGGGAACCAAGAAGGAUAAGCUAAGCAAGAAGAUGGAAGGAGAGGCGUCAAGCAUAAGGGAGAAGAUGGAACAUAUGAUGAAGUCAAGGAAGGCAUUGAUAAUGAAGACAUUGGAGACAAAGCUCCUUAUCAACGAGAAUAAGAAAGAGGUGAAGCUUGCACAAGUUGAAGCAAGGCGUGAAGAAGCCAAGCGCAAGGCCGACCUGGAGGAGAGGAUGAUCAAGGUCAAAGAAGCAAAGGCAUGGAAAGAACUCAUGGUGGAAGAGAAGGAGCACAUAAUGAUGUCCAAUAAGGACAUUGAUGAAGACCAAUUGAUGUGGUGGAAGGAGUACAAGGAGGACAUCGCGGAGAGGAAGAGGAUAUUCUGUGGUGCGUCCUCUACUCUUCGAGGUGAUACUCCGAUGAGUGGUGGUGGCGAUGGCAGUGUGGAGGACUCCACCACCGGCGAAAAUGGAGGUGCUUGAUGGACGUGGAAGUGGUCUAGGAGAUGGCGCUGAGGUGCAACUUUUUGGUGAUGGUGCCGAUGAGAGGGGGAAGAUGAUGAUUUUAUGAUGUAAACUAUUAAACCAUGCAUCAAUGAUUUUCAUUUCCUAGUUUGUUUCAAGGUUGAUUGUGUUUUUCUAGUGAUAAUUGUGAUAUGUCAAAUGACAGAUUUAAGGGUUGGGGUUGCGGCAAAGACUAAACCCUCAAAUUCAACCCUUAUAACGGAGUAUUCUGUUAUAAGGGUUGGGUUUGAGGGUUCUAGUCUUUGCCCCUGUUUUUCAAUCCUUAAAAGUGCCAAAAAAUGCCAAUUCUCAACCCUUCAACUGGUAUGAGGGUUUGAGGGUACUACUAGAGAUGCUCUUAGCGUGCACACCAUCUCACUUCAGAUUUGUCUGUGUGUGUGGGAGUUUUCGUCCUACCCAACCCGGUUAGACGCGUCGGAAAUCAGCCCAAUUUGACUAGUGGUUGAGUGCUAAAUUUUUGUUUGUUGAGAGAGAGAAUAUCACAUGAAACCUAAGUUUUGAUAAAAAUCACCCAGAAUAGAUAUUAUUUUGAUGUUCCGAAAUCUCCAUUAGAUGUUGAUUUUGUUUCUUCAGCUCGUCCUUAGGGCGUCUCCAAAGCUGACCCGCCAAUAGUUUCGAUAUAUAUCCGUUUUUAUGUCCGGACGUAGUCCGUGGACGGUUGUCGAGGACAGGUAGACUUCGUUGACUAUAGCAUUUACUGUAGCUACAAUUGUACAGUAUACGAAGGAGAUGUGCCUAAGCCCUAGGCCGUCGCUCCUUCUAUCUGGGGCGUGAAUCCGUCCAUGUCGGUGGAUAUAAUCAGGAGUCGGCCAUUCAAUUGUAGGUGCAAACAUCCGCCUCUAUUAAUGAUUUUCAAGAAAUCAACUCAGCCAAAUUAACCUUCCACAAAUAGAAAAUCUACCUUCCGUUGAAUAGAAAUCAACCUUCACUUAUUUGAAUCAAUCUUCCACCAUUUGACGUAUACUUAUAAAGAAAUAUUUACUCUCGUAAUUUUAGGUGCGACAAUGAGAAUUGUCUAAAAAAAUAGAUGGAAUUGGACCUAGAAAAACCAUUCAGCUUCAUUAUGGAUUAGGUAUGACUGGGUGAAAAUCCUUUUGAAGGAAGCUAUUCAAGAACGGAUGGAACGGCUUUCCCUUCAAUAACAAAUAAAUUUUACAUAUGGGAAUUGGUUGAAGUCGAGGGAUUAGCUUAUAUAGAUAGACGCGGCGGGGGCACGGUGUUUAUCCGGUCUCGUGUUAGAUCCUAUGAUUUGGUUAGUUAGCCUAUGAGAACAAGUCACAAGUUAUUUCCUCUUUCAAUCAAAUGAGGUACUUCCUCGGUUUAGAAGGCACGUUUGGAAAAUCUCUCGGAUCAAGGUAGUCAACGAUUGGUUGUGAGAUGUAGUAGGUGUAUAUGCUAAUGCGCCUAAUCAACUGGAAAAAAUAAGAGUACUAAUGCUUGAGCAGCAAAUUAGGAGGGCGCAUGCAUGAGUAGUGCUAGUACUAAUUAAUAAGAGUAAUUGCUUUCCCGCCUUAAACCUUGUCUAUUUUGAAAACGCACGCAAGUUUAACCGUGCCUUCUAAACCGUGACGGAGAGAGUAAUUAACGUGAAGUAACAGGGUAAUAAAUCUACAUUUUUAAUACAAACUAUUAAUAAACUAGUAGGAAGAAAUAUGUGUUUUUAAUGUGGAGUAAUCAAUAGACGGUCCUAAGCUGCUCUCGCCCCAACCCGGACAUGGGUACACGGCGGCUUUUGAUUGGCCAAGCGCCGGACUCCUGUAAGGCCUCACCUUAUCGACGAUUGGUCUAUCUCUGUCUACCUCAAGUGUUGCUUUGUUGCUUAUCCUUUGUGUGCUUGCUACUUAUCUUCAGCAUUUGUGUAUCUAGCCUUAGGUUGUCUGAGGUGGUGUUUGUAAUCGUAUGAUUGUAUGUGAUCGUUGUUUUAUAUAUAAAACGGAACGCGAGCCUAUUUCGUCGUAAGCUGCAAUGCACAACAGAAUGGUAUAUACGAGCACUGUUGGGCUGAGGCAGGGACCGGCUCCCUCGUUGGUUACCUAUGCGGCACCGCUUGGCGGCGGCAAGGUAGGCACGGGUCAUCGUAGACAUGUCGAGAGCAGAGUUUGGUAAAGGAUCAGUAGGUUUACUAGCGUGAGUGAGACCAAGAUGAGAUGGGCAGAGCAAGAGGUGAUUCUUUUCAGCGAGAGGAGGCAUCGAUCCAUUUUGUAGGAGCAUGUGCGUGAGUGCAGUGUCAGUCAGUGUGCACUCCGUUUUGUUGGCCAUGUGAUGUGCCUGUCCUGGCGCUCCCAGUUUUCGCCCUAGCUAGCUCGGCAAUCCCGUCAGCGGUUCGGUGCAAAACCUUUGCUUGUUUAGCUGGCGUUAUUCCCGGGAGUGCAUGAUAGUUACCGGAGUAGUUGAUUUCCAUUUUCUUAUGAUGACGCUAAAAACACUUGCCAUCUUUGUUAAUUUAGAAGAAAAAAAUUAUCCUGUUAAUUUAGAAAAACCAGAUGAAAACUGUAGCAACACGCCCAACCAGACUAUCAUAGUCAAACAUAUGACAAUAGAUAUGUCAGAGGCCGAUCUUGCUACCAACGUAGACUCCAUACUUAACGGAGAAGACAACUUCCGCAAUGGCUGCAUAGAAACGUCACUCAUCGCCCUCAAUCUAUUUUUUAUUUUUUUGGAAAAGGAGGUUUAACCCCGGUCUCUGUAUCAAUCGAUGCAUACGACCAUCUUUAUUAAUUAUUUAAUAUAGGUCUAAUAAAAACAUACGUCAAACCAUCCGAAAUCAUCACUCACACCUACAAAACUCGAUAAUGUGUAGUGCUCUCACUCCCCAUAUCUAAAACCGGUGCCCUCAUCGAUCCAUCCACAUAACGUAUCGGAACUCACAGCCGGUGCAACACACCUAAAGCGUACACCACAUGUACACGUUUUAGACGCCGUCAUCAUCAUCAGGCGCUGACCCAUCUUUUGUAAAAAGAUGUGUAUCAUCCUUGCCAGUCCGUCCAUCCGUAGACGCCACCACGGCUCGUCAGUCCAGACGCGAAGAUUCUGGAAGAUCUGUCGUGCGUAGCACCUGCCGACCAGGCAUGACACAACGUAGCACGUGUCGGCCAGGCAUGACUUGACAUCUCCACCGAAAGCUUUGUGCAAGAUGAUCGGCGCCACCAUGGCGCCAAACAGCGCCACCGCCCUGCGCUCAUUCGUCGAAACACAAAGAUUCUGGAAGAACUGUCGUUCGUAGCACCUACCAACCAGUCAUGACUCAGCGUAGCACCUGUCGGCCAGGCAUGACAUGACAGUUCCACCAAAUCUUCGGGCCACACAAAGCUGCUCCAUCUCCUGCCUCUGUCAUCCAGCGCUGCUCCACAAACAAUGCUCCCAAGAGAGAAACGGCACCGCAGUACCGCCAUCGUACGAUCUGAAAAGUCAGAUCUUAGGGUUUCCUCCGAAGCAGUGCCCACCACCAGCAACCGCCCAGGACCCACAUAGUGCCCGCCACAACUCAGCCCUCAAGGCGACGCCUUCAGGAAGGUCACGACGUCAAGGACGCCGCCGCCUUCCACCGGAGUUAGGGUUUUCACCCGAGAGGCAGUGAGGUAGGAAGUGGAGGAGCAGACCUAGACCGACGUCUCCAGGAAGAACAACGGCGCUCUUGAGCGUCGUCGGCGGCGCGGCCGGCCAGGGCCGACCAAUGGGUUCCCCCGUACCUGAAUCUUCUCCACCAGCUUCAUCCGCGGCCACGCCGGCAACGCCAGAAAACCGCAGGAGAGAAGCACACCGCGGGUAUUUGGAUCAAUGAAGAUUCAAUCUAAACAGUGACGAGUACCACCACCCUGCGCUGGCCGACGGCGUCCGGGCGCCGGAUCCAGAAGGAUCUGACCCCUCGCCCUCGAUCUAAUGACUCCGACUCCAACAAAAAUGGCCAUAAACAAACUAACCGGUACAAGUUGAUGCAUGGAACCAAAAUUCACUAUGCUUAGAAGACAUCAUCAGCCAUGGAUGCACACAGGCGUCAUCAGAGGCGACUAAAUAAAAUGAUGCUGCUUGUAGUACCCACACCAGACCGAAUAAAAAUGAAACCGUUUGUAGAGAGACAUUUUACUAGCAUCCACACACUCUGCGAAGAUAGCUGCCUCCGAAUCCCACCAUGUGAUAGUCUAGUUCCGCUUUGAGGCGAUUGACACCAAGAGAAUUAGCGAUAACUGGCGACCGGUGGUUUCUCCAGGCGGCUCAACUCUAAUCUUGUUCAGUAGUAGUGGGUGUUUUGUGUUAGGGCUGGUGUCUCCUGGUUUCAUGCUCAAUGUUGACUUAGAGACAAUUUUUUUGGCCUUUUUAGACUUCUAAAAUAAGCUGCCUUCUAUCCAUUUUAUUCUAAAAGCCUAAUUCAAUUUCUUUUUAAAAACAUAUUAGACAAUUUAAUUAUUAGCUUUCUAAGAAAAUUAAUUUGGUUGGACUUCUGAAAUAAGCAAGAAUAGGAGGCAACCUAUUCCAUCUUAUUCUAGAAGCCGGCAAAAAAUAAACUGGCCUUCAGUUAUUCUUGUGCCAACAAACCAGUACCGUUUUAUUUUACUUUUAGUUUGUUUGCAUGAGGGUUGUCUCAUCAUAUUAUAUCGGUUCGACCGAUUGUGGCUUUAUUCGAAAAGGGGGCGAAAGACUCUUUUGAAAAAGGUUUAAUCGUGUGAGGUGAGGUGUCAUGAUCCUCACGUGCAUUUCGGAACAGAACAGGGGAGGAGCAGGGGAUCAAAAGAUUUAACUAGUACCACGGUGUUAUCUCGGCAUUUUGCAAUGCUCUGACGCAUGUCAACUGGUAAUCAUCAUAAGGAAAACACGAGCCAUGGCACAUGAACCAGGGUCGUACAAAAUUAAAACUAGUUGUUAUUAACUCAAGAUAUAUGGAAUGAUACUAAGAUGGAGAAGGUGGCAACAUUAUUUCAUUUCAUCCAUAAUCACACAAGUGCUUGCUUGAUGGCCCCUCUACUACUACUAGCUCAAGGUCUGAAGAAUGAUCGCGGACGGGGACGAGCCGGAGCCGCGGCGGCGCCACCGAAGGAGGUGUCUUUGAGGUGGUCAGGGGCGCUCUCGUAGGAGUGCCUCCUCGCCAGCGAGAGGAUGGUCUUGUCGGCGGCGACGAAGUAUGCCAUCCCGGCGACGGUGCAGACGAUGAGCGCCUGGCCGGUGGGGUUGAGGUUCGCCUUGGCCCACGGCAGCAUCCUCACGCUCGCCAGCUGCGUGAUUAAUAGUAGUUCAGUUAUGGAAACCACAGUCCAACGUGCAUGGAAAUCAACAACAAUUCCUGGACGGAGGAGCUCACCGUGGGGACUGCCGACGCGACCGUGGCGACGGCCGCAGCCUUUGCUCCGGCGAACGUUGCCUCUAGGAAAGAUUAAAAGAAAAAAAAGAAUGAACCGCUAGUAUCAGACUAUCAGCACACAACUGAGCUCUGAAGAAGUGCAUCCUGGUCAGUGGUUACUACCUCUGGAGCAGCGUUUGGCGAGGGCGAGCUUGUGGUCGAGGGACGCGCGGGUGACGGUGGCCGCCGACGACGACAUCUUCACCGUGAUAUUGUACAGAAACGGCUGAGUGCGAUCGAGUGAGAUGGUGUGGGCUGGCUGGUUCGUUGUUGCUCGAUGCAUCCAGACGAGGAGCUAGCCGUGUAUUUAUAGCGAGCAAAAAGGUUGCCGCCAUGCACGGUUUUGGGUGCAAACCGUGGGUACUCUGCUAUGAUCCGCUCAUUUGGACUUUAGAGUACACAACUGAGUUGGUGGGCGGAGCACCGCACGCUAUCUAAAAACUAUGGCAGCAAUCCACAGGAUUUGAUGAUGCUUGUUUGUUAGAGGUAUAUAUCCUCCAUGGCUCAAUCGCCUUUCUUUCUUUACCCACCAAAGCUGGUGAAAAAAGAGAGAUCUAAAGUUAGGCACAACAGUGCUGAUCUGAGCACAAUACUACGUAGAUAAUUGCUACCGGACGCAUUUGUUCUUUGUAAGAUAAGAUAACAAAUAUGAAACGGAGCAGGUGCCUCCGGGUCCACUCGUCAUCGUCGGUCCGUCGGUCGGCGAGCGGCGCUCCCAGUUUUCCGGCGAAACCGGCGGCAUGUGCUCCCCGGCCGGACUAGCUCUUCAUGCGUGAGCUGCUUUGGCAUUUCUCCACAUUUUUCUCCAGUCUGCGGCCCACCCAUAUUGCAUACAACAUUUAUUCUUCAGGUUCGUUGCACAAGAUACAGUCUGUUGGUGUAACCUGUUGUUGCUGCAAUCUCCAAUUCAUUGUUUUUUUUAAUAAUCUAAUUCAUUGUUUCAUUGUACGUUGACAUGAUUCCCAAUGAUUUGAUCCCGCUUGUAAGUGCAUACAAUGACAUCAACCAGCCAAUAAGAACUACCUCGUAGGUUUAGUUGCUCAUUAUUAUACAAUUACGACAUGGCAGUUUUAGUCAUUCAUUACCAUUUUUUGUUUAAAACUUGACAUUUAAAAAUGGCCUUUUAAAUUUGUGUCCCUAACUUGAAUCCAUAAUUCAGAUUUGCCCUAAUUUCAAAGCAUAUGCUCAAAUUUACACCUCUGCCGUUAUGUGUCCUUACAAAAAUAUCCUUCUGUACCAUAUUUUUAAUUGACAAAUUAUAGAGACUAUUUUGUCAUAUGGUAUUAUUAAAGAAGUUUUUUUUCUGUGGGUCAACGCACCAUAGUUUUGAACCUUACGUAGUGACGGAGCCAGUAUUUGGAUGUGGCCGUGGAUAGGGGGGCCAAAUACUUACAUACUAUGACAUAUCAAUCAAAUAUACACUAGGUACUUCAGAUUUUAUCGACCGUUAGGGGGAGCCAGGCCCCUGCUCGCCCCCUUGUCUCCGCCCCUGACCUUACGCGUAGAUAUGGAUAUACUUUUAUCUAACGAACGAUUAAGAAAGUGUUAAAGUAUUCCGGCCUCUGGUGACAAACACUUCGAACCUACACAUGACGGCUUUAUGAGUCUCUAGUGAUAAACACCUCAAACCUACACAUGACGACUUUAAUUAUGAGCCUUUGCUGACAAGCACCUCAAACAUGCACAUACGGCUUUACGAAUACAAAAAACUCAUGUUUUUUUAAUUAUUACAUGUUUUCCGACGAUAUACGAUCAAUGGGAGUAGGCAUUCUGGUCGACUAUGAUGACGCAUGUAGCAACUUCGACAAUUUUAAGAUAAUGUACCGGCUCAACCUAUCAAAGAUGCUCGCAAAGAUAGUAUGUGAGUGUGUACAUGUAAGUAUACGUGUGUAUAUACAAGUGUCUGCGCCUAUACUAUGUAUUGUGUUAAAUAACAAUACAUAAAGAUUGUUACGGUUUUCAAAAUAAAAGAAAAACACACGCUUCAAAACGUCAUUGUCUGUACUGUCUAUUAUGUUAAAUAACAAUACAUAAAGCUUGUUACGGUAUUCAAAAUAAAAAAGAACACUUGUUUCAAAACGGCCAAAUUUUUCAUUUUUAAACCCAUCCCUAUUUGUCAACCCAUCCAAUAAGCCGUAUCAAAAGAUUUAACGAGCGAGGUUAGAUGGCUUUGUCCUCACAUGCAUUCCGAAACAGAAUAGGGGCGGAAAAGGGAUCAAAAAAUGUACUUGUGGUGUGGUGUCAUUUCGGCGUUUUGCAAUGCUCCGAAGUACUUAGUACGCAUGCUAAAUGGUAAUCUUCGCAAACAAGAAAAAUAUUAGAUGAGUGAGGGCACUUGAACCAGAGAUGUACGAAAUUAAAACUACUCCCUUCGUUCCUAAAUAUAAGUCUUUCUAGAGGUUUCACUAACGGACAACAUACGGAUGCAUAUAGACAUACUUUAAAGUGUAGAAUCACUCAUUUUAAUUUGUAUGUAAAUCUCUAAUGAAAUUUCUUAGAAGACUUAUAUUUAGAAACAGAGGGAGUUGUUGUUAUUAACUAAAGAUCUCUGGAAAGAUACUAAGAUGGAGAAGUUGGCAACAUUAUUUCAUUUCAUACAUGAUCAGAUAACUAGUGCUUUGCUCGCAGUAAACAUCGCACUGGGCCAGAUCGCCCCAACAUUAUACUACUACUACGGGGCGGCGUACAGAGGUUGCUGCGCACUAGU
Molecule: long non-coding RNA, 11273 nt
Filed under: Hordeum vulgare
Lineage: Eukaryota; Viridiplantae; Streptophyta; Magnoliopsida; Poales; Poaceae
Description: long non-coding RNA (HVUL_LNC017617)
Source: RNAcentral